RNAcentral lists this ribosomal RNA (254 nucleotides) under uncultured bacterium. RNAcentral describes it as "partial 16S ribosomal RNA". It matches the Rfam family "Bacterial small subunit ribosomal RNA", at positions 524 to 776 of the family's 1533-position model. The record is from RNAcentral.
GACGGAGGAGGCAAGCGUUUAUCCGGAAUUAUUGGGCGUAAAGGGCGCGUAGGCGGCCUGGCAAGUGGAUGGUGAAAUCCCUCGGCUUAACCGAGGAACUGCCAUCCAGACUGCUUGGCUUGAGACCGGGAGAGGUGAGUGGAAUUCCCAGUGUAGCGGUGAAAUGCGUAGAUAUUGGGAGGAACACCAGUGGCGAAGGCGGCUCACUGGACCGGUACUGACGCUGAGGCGCGAAAGCGUGGGGAGCAAACAGG